AGUUUUAAUAGUUUAAAAAUAAAACAUUGGUCUUGUAAACCAAAAAUAAGAAACCUUUUAAAAC
This 64-nucleotide transfer RNA is filed under the name Pseudolebinthus lunipterus. Its description in RNAcentral is "Pseudolebinthus sp. 1 RN-2019 tRNA-Thr". It matches the Rfam family "tRNA". Rfam says of the family: Transfer RNA (tRNA) molecules are approximately 80 nucleotides in length. Their secondary structure includes four short double-helical elements and three loops (D, anti-codon, and T loops). Lineage: Eukaryota; Metazoa; Arthropoda; Insecta; Orthoptera; Gryllidae. The record is from RNAcentral.